CCGCCGGUAGCAUAGUGGUUAUCGCAUCAGACCGGCAUUCUGGAGGUCGUGGGCUCGAAUCCCACCUGGCGGG
This 73-nucleotide transfer RNA is filed under the name Haemaphysalis longicornis (longhorned tick). It matches the Rfam family "tRNA". From Rfam's summary of the family: Transfer RNA (tRNA) molecules are approximately 80 nucleotides in length. Their secondary structure includes four short double-helical elements and three loops (D, anti-codon, and T loops). The record is from Rfam by way of RNAcentral. Lineage: Eukaryota; Metazoa; Arthropoda; Arachnida; Ixodida; Ixodidae.